GUCUCAGUAAGAGCAGAACAUGUACUAAAAUUGGAAGGAUGGAGAUUAGCCUGGCCCCCGCAUGAGAAUGACAUGCAAAUUCGUGAAGUGUUCCGUAUUUGU
Molecule: small nuclear RNA, 102 nt
Organism: Leptonychotes weddellii (Weddell seal)
Lineage: Eukaryota; Metazoa; Chordata; Mammalia; Carnivora; Phocidae
Source: RefSeq, a predicted model, not a curated record